UCCCUGGUGGCUCAGAUGGUAGAGAAUCUGCCUGAAAUGUAGGAGACCCAGGUUCGAUCCCUGGGUCCGGAA
Molecule: transfer RNA, 72 nt
Filed under: Ovis aries (sheep)
Lineage: Eukaryota; Metazoa; Chordata; Mammalia; Artiodactyla; Bovidae
Rfam family: tRNA
About the family: Transfer RNA (tRNA) molecules are approximately 80 nucleotides in length. Their secondary structure includes four short double-helical elements and three loops (D, anti-codon, and T loops).
Source: Rfam by way of RNAcentral